RNAcentral lists this ribosomal RNA (490 nucleotides) under uncultured bacterium. Its description in RNAcentral is "partial 16S ribosomal RNA". It matches the Rfam family "Bacterial small subunit ribosomal RNA", at positions 30 to 507 of the family's 1533-position model. The record is from RNAcentral.
AUUGAACGCUGGCGGCAGGCCUAACACAUGCAAGUCGAACGGUAACAGGAAGCAGCUUGCUUCUUUGCUGACGCGUGUCGGACGGGUGUGUAAUGUCCGUGAAACUGCCUGAUUUAGUGGGAUAACUCCUGGAAACGGUAGCUAUUACCGCAUAUCGUCGCUAGACCAAAGAGGGGGACCUUCUGGCCUCUUGCCCUCUGAUGUGCCCAGAUGGGAUUAGCUAGUAGGUGGGGUAACGGCUCACCUAGGCGACGAUCCCUAGCUGGUCUGAGAGGAUGACCAGCCACACUGGAACUGAGACACGGUCCAGACUCCUACGGGAGGCAGCAGUGGGGAAUAUUGCACAAUGGGCGCAAGCCUGAUGCAGCCAUGCCGCGUGUAUGAAGAAGGCCUUCGGGUUGUAAAGUACUUUUAGCGGGGAGGAAGGGAGUAAAGUUAAUACCUUGGCGCAUUGACGUUACCCGAAGAAGAAGCACCGGCUAACUCCGUG